GCUUUGACGGUUGACUGAAUGGGAGCAAGUGAGAUAUAGCCAGACUGUGUAGGAACUACAUGCAAGACAAACAAACAGUCAGACUAAGACACGACAUCAGUUAAAAAAAAACAGACAUUUUUAAAUAACAGUAAAUGAAAACUGUAAAUUACAGUACGUAAUGGUAAAAGGACAAAUAUGUUUAAUGUUGUAAUUGAAAAAAAUCUGAUUAUCCUUUAUAAAUUAUAUGCUGAUUCCAAAUUUGAUGGCAGCAUUGGUGGAUGUGUCGGUACUGUCUGUAGACUAGUUUAGCACCUGGACCCUUCCACCACAGAGCCAUGCUGUCGUAAUGUACACCUUCUUAGAUAGGUAUGCUUCCAGUGCCAUGGACACUCAUGUAUCCACAUACUAUCACAGGCGCUGGCUGUUAAACUGAGAGUUAUUACCACGGCAGGAGGUCACUGUCCUUUUUAAAUUAAAGGGCAGGGUGUCCAUGAUGUCCAAAAAGAGUGUCAGAUUUUGAUUUGUCAAAAUUCAGGUCAGUUUCUAACCUGAGGAUGGCUCUUCGUGGCUCUUCAAUACUCUUCAAGUAUUGGCUUCUGGCCCUGCUCUUCUUUUACAUUUAGAUUUAUCCAGAUUCCUUUGGUAUUAUAUGCUGUUUCUGGAAAAAUUCCCUCAUUCAUAUAAAUUUCAUGCGGACUAACAAUAUUCUGAAAUGUCCCUCUAUUUCUGUUUUUUUAAGAUUACUCUACUUUUUCAUUCUUUUGUUGUAUCAGUUCAAACUUUUUUGAUGUAUUUUGCCAGCAUCAAACUUAAAAAUGAGCUUAAAGUUUUCCUAAACAAUAAAAAUUUUCAGUUUCAACAUUUGAUGAGUUGUCUUUCCACUAUUUCCAGUAGUAUAUAGGGUUUAAAUGAUGUUCAAACUGCUCAUGCCAGUAACCGUCUGGUGCUUCAAGGAGGAGUGAACGGCCAGUUAAAACGGCACAAAAGUUGUCCUAUUAGUGAUGCAGAGUGUCACCUCCAUCAGGGGACACAGAGAAGCAGUCUCCUGGCUUAUAAUGGGCUCCAGGAGUGGUGAUAAAACCGGCAUCAAUACCCUGGGACUCUUUAAUGACCGAGGCCUUUGAUCGCAGGCGAAGAAGACUGAUGGAAGCAAGCCAUCUCAGGGAUUUUGUCAUUAACACUACCUGCAAUUAAAUCAUUUUUAUGGCUGCUCUGAUGUAGUCAAAGACAGGCUGAUUUAUCACUCAGAUCUUCUGUGUUUUCAUUCUGAAGUCAUUUUUUAUUGUGUUGCAAUUAAUUGGGUUUCUUUAAGUACUUAACCCAAGGCUGUGAUUCAUUGAGAAGCAUUGAUUUUUGAGUGCUACAUGUAUUUUUAUGAGACAGCAGCUUGUGGAACAUAACGAAAAAUAAAAUACAGGACAGAAAGAUUUAGUUCAGGGAUGCUGCUUAUACACUGGAAAUGACCAAAUUUCACACAAUCCUGUUAAACUGCAGAGUGUUCCUGUAUCCAACUAUGCUGUGAACACUAAUCUCUAAGCACUAUGUCCAAUCCUAAUCCACCAGUCACCUGCUAUUACAGCCCACAUCACCCUACGUCUAGUUCCCAAGCCACAAUGGGGAUAAUGUUAACACUGUGGCAGCUACAUUUAACAGUGAUGGCACCUCGGGUUACUGCUUAAAAAAAAGCCUAUCCUCUGAGCACUUUCACUUCUGUGACCAGGGAGGUACUACUCACUACUCGUCUGACUCACUGGCACCGACACGAGAGUACAACCUGAGUUUUCUCCAAUGAGAUCUCUUUGCAGAAAACAGCAGGCUGUCUUCCACUUAAAUAAGUUGGGAAAACUAAGCUGGGGGCACCAGGUGGACACUAAACCCAGAGCCCACUGUGCACUUAAGAAUCUCCGGUCCGGGUUCCUCUCACAAAAUAAGCCACAGCUAGGUGCAAAACACAGGAACUGAUAUAAAAAAAUUCCCCUGUGCUACAUACAGAGAUUAAAAGUUGUCUGAAAUUAUUUACUGCUGUAAUUUUGAGCAUGUUCAGUUAGAAUCUAAGCAGAAACAGCCUGUAAUUUCUGUUAGAAAGCAGAUAACCAAGAAAAAAAAGGAAUCCAUGAAAUGUUAGAUUCUCAAAUAUGAACUGGAUUUAUGCAGAAUAUGCUACCAGUGUUGCAUAAUGCAUCGCGCUUGUCUAGUUUGAGACAUGCAAAUCACCCCAAGUUGAGGAAAUCCACUCAUGGUGAUGGAAACCUUCCACAGUCUCAGCUAUGAAAUAUUUGUGAUUCUCAAAAUGUCAUUGAUGCAGUCAAAGAAAAGAUGAAGAGAGAUGGAUAAAUGUGGUGAAGAAAAGGAAAGGAGAAAGAAAAAACGGGAUGGAAAAUGAGAGUGAAAGACUAUAAGGCUUGCUUUGAGGAAUACAACACCAGCUGCUGCUGGCUUUCUCUCCCACUGUUAUUUAACAAGGGAUAAAAGCUGUUGUGCACUGCCAUGUGCACACUUUGGAGCUCAAAGAAGCUGUUUUGCAGGCAUUUUACAGGUAAUAGUCCCAUUCAUGCACAGUACCAUCCUGAAGUCUUUUAGAAGCAUGCAACAAAUGCUCAACAUAAAAAAGGAAAAAUAAUCCUUUCUGUGCACUGGUUGGCUUUUAAGCCUCAAAACUGGGAGUGCAGUUGUGAAUACUUGUUCGAAACAUGUUAUCCCUGUUGUUGAAUACUACACUCAGAGCAAUUUGAGUGCUAUUUAAUAGGGAUGAAGUGAUAGUAUUAGAGAGCUAUUAUACCUUUGUGAUACCUGGGGUGUAAGGCUUUUCAGGACACAAAAUGAGUACAUUUGAAAUGGAAAGGAGGCGAUACAGUCAGGCCUUUAUGAUGUAGACACAUUUUGGUCUGAAGACUGAGCCAAUAGGCUUUAAAUCCUAUUUAUGACGUCCACAAUUUCAUUACCUCAAAAAUAUUUCUCACUUCUUUUUGUGACGGACACAUUAAAGUGUUCAACACUUUUUUCUUAUUAUGUUAGAAACUCCAGCAUCUUUAUCGAUCAGAGGCCAUAAUACAUCAUAGCCUAUUUGGCAUUGUCCGCUUUCUGCAGGGGAGUGCAGCGCUCACUUGUUAUCUCAGUCAAUAACUCUUAACAGGUAGUGAGCUUCAAGUUGUAUCUGUAUCAAUAUUUGUGGAGAAACAUUACACAGAACAUUGUUUAGGAAUCAAUAGCUUUAAACUUUUAUCCCAAUCCUCAUAACUCACAUCAGACCCAGCUGACCUGUACUGUUGCCAAUAACUGAGCUCAUAAUGGGAUGGUAUUUCUCAUGAAAGAAAUACAUUGAACUUAAAAAAUGUGGAGAUUAAAGGUGAAAUGUAUUGGAGAAUUUUAAGAAGUAGGAAUAAAGAGCAUUUUCUCCAAUAGCCCCCAAAUAGAGAGAUUGAUAUGAUGAGUUGACAGCAGCUUGACAGUUUAGUGAGAAUCCCCUCGAUGUUUCACUUUUCUAUUUCCGACUAAAUGGACAAUUGGAGAAGGAUGACAGGGUGCGACAGACAUCACUUUGAAUAAAGACCGGGUGACAGUUCCUUCCUUUGAACCUCAGCCUCAGCUCCUCCUAGACUCUUAACCUCCUGGAGGAAAAAAAAGGUUCAAACAACCGAAUCGAUAGCAAUUUAGGGCAACACUCCUUGUCACUUCCUUCUCCUCCCACUUCUUCUUCAUCUCCCACCACCCAGGCUGCACCCUGGGAGACAAUUUGCUGUGCGACAUUGCUCUGAUAGGACAACAAAGAAAGCCUGGGACAAAUAGGUCUUUGGUGAGAAUUGAUGGGACUUGGACUAGACGGAUCCGGUGAUAAACAUGUUUCAUGCUCGCCAUGUCUUCGAUCUCUAUUCACAUGCAAUGCUUCCGGAAGGUGACUGGGAAAAAAUAUCCAGGUGUUUCUCCUCCUUGCACAGUGGAUGGAGAUUUGGACAUGCGAACAUCCAAACCACAUGCAUUUAAUAUUUGUCAAUAAAGAAAACAAAAGUUAUGGUAAAAUGGCACGCAAUCAAAACAAGCAAGUCUUCAAACAGAUAUUGAAGGUUGUUUGUACUUGAUGAAUUCAGCUAUUUCAGUUUGGGGGUCAAAAAAUUAAACUGCUCAAACUACUGCUUGAAAAAUAAUCUAUAAUUCUUAUAAUAAAUUAAGCAUCAGAGGGAAGAAAUCGGCGGCAAAUAGAUGGAUUUUGGACAAGUUGGAAUCAAAGUACAGUGACUUUCAAAAGACUGCAAACGAAGCUGACUAUCCAGAAUCACCUCCUGUGGUUAGAAAUGAUGUAACUGUAGUCAAAGCAGAUUUUCUUUUUUUUUUUUUCCUUUGAAAUUGUUCAUUUUUUCUUAUGUUUAAACUCAGGCACUAAGUCUUACUGUGUUUUUCUUGUUUGACACCCUCUGCCAUAUUUUUCACCAUUUCUUUGGCUGUCCAAUGGUGUCAGAGCUCUCAAAGACAGAUCCGUCACUCUUAGAUUUCAAAUGUCACUGCAUCAAACCCCUAUGUCACACAAAUUCAGCUUUUUUCCCCGCUGUUGGCUGGUGACUGCUGAGAUUUAAACAUCACAGUUGAGCCAAGCCAGCGCAGAUAUCUCAUAGUAUGAAUAACUCUUUUGUCCGCCUUGUCUGCUCUAACAGACAAGUUCUAACUUGGACAGCUCAGCAAGAAAUGUACAUAACUGAACUCACUGCUGACUGUACUUGGACUUAUUCUGAAACUGCCUCCAGUUCAAAGUUUUUUCUUUACAGUAUAUGUUAAAGUUUCUUGAAGUCUUUGGAUGUGUGGGAGAUUCUCUCCAACAGUAUUUCAGAUUGAGAAUGUUAGCUUACAAAUGUUGCCAUUGCUAAUGCUAUCGUCAUUCCUAUUGCACUGCACUGCUGAGUCGACCAAAACUCUGAUUGGUCGACUCAAUUUUUAUCCAAGUCAAUUUACAGUCAAUGGUUAAUUUCAUCAGGAGGAAUGUGCUAAUCCAAGUGCUAAUGCGGGUAUUUUCAGAGCACUCCCGUUUCUCAGGAAACAGCCUGUCUCAGAACACCCCCCUUGUUUUCACCAUUCUGGAUUCACCCAACCCACUGGAGACCGGCUGGAGACAGGAAGAGUGGCCAUGUUGAUCAACGUCCAGUGGUUUGCUGAAUAUAAUAUUUGUAUAAUUGCCUUAUUGUGUUGAUAUCAGUAUAUUUUCACCCUGCUGAGCCGCGCUCCACCGAGUCACAAUCCGCCAAACCGUGUUGUCCCCUGCCGCUAAAGGGUUUGCUGUCAGAGUUUGAAAAAUCCAACCCCUUGAUUAGUCGAUUUUUGGUCGAAAAUUUUAAGGUUUCAGUCGACCAAGAAUUUUUUUGAUUGAUUACAGCCCUGCAACUAACCUUCUGAAUCUUUAGUUGUCGACUACAGAAAAUGUUCAUGGGUCUUUGGCUUAUGUUCAGCCCUACAUCUGUGAUCUCUACAGGCUAAUAAAACACACAUCCCUCGCUAUCAAUAUCACAUGGUCUUCUUCAUCUCCUCCUGCCAUUAUCUUCAGUGUGUCCUGCAGGGAUAAACUGAGCAUGAUGCUCUAUAACUCACCUGCUGUCUUGCCCACCAUCUCUGCUAUCUACACUCUACUGGGUAAUCCACAACCACCUCCUACAGUCAUUUUAUGGAGCCAUUAAAUUUCAGUAGGUGGCAAAUAAAGCUAUUUCUAGAUUGUAGGUUCAUCAUAAAUAUCUUCAGGUAUUUAUUCCAUUAAAAAGAGCUUGGAACGAGCCUGACAACAUGGAUCAGAUAAUUAUUGCAUGGAUCAGUCAUACCUUCAGGACCAGAGGAAUCUGUUAGCCAUAAGUUACGGCAUGCAAAGUAUGCAUUUAAUGCAACUGCAUGACUUGACAGGUAGCUUUAAAACGCUAACUUAUGUCGCAGCCCUUUGAUAGAUGAUUUCCUGUGACACUGAUGCCUCUUUAGAUGGCACAGCAUGUAACACUCCUUGGCACAUGGGCCCAGGGACAUAUUACUACCAUUAGCCCAUACAUUAACAUCAAAGCAGUGAUUAAUAAAUCAUCAAGACAUUCGUUUGAGGAUUAAUGCAUUUCACUUCAAUGCAACUCAUUUUCUUUUCAGCUUCAUUCAGGUUUCACAAUGGGAUAACUUAGUUUCUUCCCCAUCACGCAUAAUGUGCUGCUGUUUUUGAAAGAAAUAACCAUUUAAAUUCCAGAACUGAGAUCUUGGUUUGCUUUGUGGUCAGUGAACCACACUCUCUGCAGGCUGCUGUAAAUUUUUGGCUGCAGUUAUCUGAAAGCUUGCCUUUUGGGAGCUCACUGAAGCAACAACCACUUUUUGAAAAACUGCGUAAUUUGUCUCUGCAUUUAGGGUUGUUUUGUCUGAGCGGCCUUAAAGGUCAGCCAAAUGAUCUGAGCUGCCUCUUUGUGUUUUUAGCACUCCAAAUGAUCGGCAAUUUUAACAUCGUUAGUGAUUAUAAAGAGUCAGCUCCACUUUCAGGGUGUGUGUAUGUGUGUGAGUGAGGUGGGGAAGGCUCUCUUCUCCUUUUAAUUCAAUAUGUAUGCAUGUAAGUGAAUGACAGUUUUCAUGUAAUAAGUUAACAAGCUUUGCAGUUUUACAGUCACAGUUUCAUUUGUGCUUAGCAAGAUUUCAUUUAAUAAUCGGGGUGUUUUAUUACCUUUGAUCACAAUAAGUGGAAUCCAUUUAAUUGAUCUUGCGGAUUUGCAAAAUGAAAUUCCAUCUGUGGGUGAGUUUAAAUUUCCAUCUACAGGAUGAAACACAGUUGAAGGUUAAAAAUUAAACUAGACUCAGACUUUUUUCCUUUGGUAUGAUGUUUUCAGGGCAAAAGACUCCAAAAAAUGUUUUUUUUUAGGGGACCUCCGAAUAUGACAUUACCCAAAAGCUGAAUACUGAUCUUUUACAUCUGUUUCUGUCAUGAGCUCUGCAUAAAACAUUUACGUAAUACCCUAAUAAAAUGAAAAUAGAAUCAUAAAAUAUGCAUUAGUUCAUAGAUUUUCUAGCAUGUUUUUUUUCUAUGGGUCAUAUGAAUCACCGUUAUAUGCCAGCUUUUAAAGACUGCACUAACAUUUGUUUGUAAUAACACAGCAUGACCCAAAUGCUGAACUUCAGGGCUUUAUAGGAAAAAAAGAGAGAAAAACACACCGACGAGGCUGAACAAGAGAUCUCUAUGAGCUUAUUUUUGAACUACAAAUAUGGGGAUCCAUUCUAAAGUGCACUAAAAGAAGAGGAAGCCGAGGAAGAAAAAGG
This 7230-nucleotide long non-coding RNA is filed under the name Xyrichtys novacula (pearly razorfish). The record is from RNAcentral. Lineage: Eukaryota; Metazoa; Chordata; Actinopteri; Labriformes; Labridae.